This 909-nucleotide ribosomal RNA is filed under the name Triticum aestivum (bread wheat). Its description in RNAcentral is "partial small subunit ribosomal RNA". Lineage: Eukaryota; Viridiplantae; Streptophyta; Magnoliopsida; Poales; Poaceae. The record is from RNAcentral.
AUGGAGGCGGCGAUCGGCGACGACCACACCUGGUACGAGUUCCUCCCCAUCCUCUCCUGGAUCAUCGCCGACGCCGCGGUGGCUCGCCAGACGCUGGAGCAGGCGGCGCAGCAGCUCGACCUUGCCGCCGCGGAGGCGAACCGCCUCGCCGCCAUAGCCCAUUGGGCCUCCUACUCGACGGUCCUGUGUCUCCUCCGCCGCGACAUCUACGUCGCCCUCGACCUCGACCGCGACCGGGUCGCCGAUCUCCGCCGCGAGGAGCCCCUCGCCGCCGCCGCCGCUGAGCCAGGCCCGGGCGCCGCCCUGCGCCCCAACUGUGGCCUUCUGGUCAACGUCGGCUGCGGGAUCGACCUCCUCCUGCGCACCGAGCCUCCCGAGCAUGUCAUGCACUCCUUCUCGCUGCGCUGGGAGGAGGACCGCGACGCCUGGUACCCGGGCUGGCUCCACCGCGUGAAGAGGGAGGUCACGCACGCGCUCCACAGGCUGAACCACGCGCGCUCGGAGGCGGAGCGUGUUCACCCGGAUCUGGCUCGUUUUCUCGCCGUGCCGAUGUCAUCGGAGCCCGAGGGAGCGGCCACCGCCGUCGAGGCAUGUGUCGCGACCGCCGAGAGGUGCGGCACGGCGGCUCAGCACGCCCGUGAGGCCUCGGAGAAUCUGCGCCGCGUCCUGGUCACCCUGCGAGGCCUCCGCGAGGACAUUCUGGAUGAGCCGCCUCCCAGACGCGUGAUGCAGUUCUUCGGCCCGCCGAUCGCCGACGCCGACGCCGACGCCGACGCAGGGAAAAUGCAAGCCUCAAUUGUUUGUGCACUAGUGAGAAGGCUAAGCAUAUAUGCCUUCAAGAUAAUUAAGGAUGUGGGGUUACAUCAGACUAAUCCUUUUGGAGCCCAAAUCAUCCUGGAUCGAGUGUAA